RNAcentral lists this small RNA (29 nucleotides) under Bombyx mori (domestic silkworm). RNAcentral describes it as "ovarian small RNA-25215". Lineage: Eukaryota; Metazoa; Arthropoda; Insecta; Lepidoptera; Bombycidae. The record is from RNAcentral.
UCACCUGUUCCCGGGUCCUGCGUUACGCU